UGGGGAAUCUUGCGCAAUGGCCGAAAGGCUGACGCAGCGACGCCGCGUGUGGGAUGAAGCUCUUCGGGGUGUAAACCACUGUUGCCCGGGACGAACGGGCGGAUUUAUCCGCCGUGACGGUACCGGGUGAGGAAGCACCGGCUAACUCCGUGCCAGCAGCCGCGGUAAUACGGAGGGUGCGAGCGUUGUCCGGAAUCACUGGGCGUAAAGGGCGCGUAGGCGGCUCGGUAAGCGUGUGGUGAAAGCUCGGGGCUCAACCCCGAGUCGGCCGUGCGAACUGUCGAGCUUGAGCACUGUAGAGGCAGGUGGAAUUCCGGGUGUAGCGGUGGAAUGCGUAGAGAUCCGGAAGAACACCGGUGGCGAAGGCGGCCUGCUGGGCAGUUGCUGACGCUGAGGCGCGACAGCGUGGGGAGCAAACAGG
RNAcentral lists this ribosomal RNA (421 nucleotides) under uncultured bacterium. RNAcentral's name for it is "bacterial SSU rRNA". It matches the Rfam family "Bacterial small subunit ribosomal RNA", at positions 355 to 776 of the family's 1533-position model. The record is from RNAcentral. RNAcentral also lists the same sequence under 1 other name.